GAUGAACGCUGGCGGCGUGCCUAAUACAUGCAAGUCGAGCGAACAGACGAGGAGCUUGCUCCUUUGACGUUAGCGGCGGACGGGUGAGUAACACGUAGGUAACCUACCUAUAAGACUGGGAUAACUUCGGGAAACCGGAGCUAAUACCGGAUAAUAUUUCGAACCGCAUGGUUCGAUAGUGAAAGAUGGCUUUGCUAUCACUUAUAGAUGGACCUGCGCCGUAUUAGCUAGUUGGUAAGGUAACGGCUUACCAAGGCAACGAUACGUAGCCGACCUGAGAGGGGGAUCGGCCACACUGGAACUGAGACACGGUCCAGACUACUACGGGAGGCAGCAGUAGGGAAUCGUCCGCAAUGGGCGAAAGCCUGACGGAGCAACGCCGCGUGAGUGAUGAAGGUCUUCGGAUCGUAAAACUCUGUUAUUAGGGAAGAACAAACGUGUAAGUAACUGUGCACGUCUUGACGGUACCUAAUCAGAAAGCCACGGCUAACUACGUG
This 497-nucleotide ribosomal RNA is filed under the name uncultured bacterium. Its description in RNAcentral is "partial 16S ribosomal RNA". It matches the Rfam family "Bacterial small subunit ribosomal RNA", at positions 28 to 507 of the family's 1533-position model. The record is from RNAcentral.